This 446-nucleotide ribosomal RNA is filed under the name uncultured prokaryote. RNAcentral's name for it is "bacterial SSU rRNA". It matches the Rfam family "Bacterial small subunit ribosomal RNA", at positions 355 to 796 of the family's 1533-position model. The record is from RNAcentral.
UCGAGAAUCUUCGGCAAUGCGCGCAAGCGUGACCGAGCGACGCCGCGUGUGGGAUGAAGGCCUUCGGGUUGUAAACCACUGUCAGUUGGGAGGAAAUCUGCAGGAGCUAUCUCCUGCAGUUGACCUAUCUUCAGAGGAAGGCCGGGCUAAGUUCGUGCCAGCAGCCGCGGUAAGACGAACCGGCCGAACGUUAUUCGGAAUUAUUGGGCUUAAAGGGUGCGUAGGCGGCGCGGUCAGUCGGGUGUGAAAUCCCUCGGCUCAACCGAGGAAUUGCGCCCGAUACUGCCGUGCUCGAGGGAGACAGAGGCGAGCGGAACUGAUGGUGGAGCGGUGAAAUGCGUUGAUAUCAUCAGGAACACCAGUGGCGAAAGCGGCUCGCUGGGUCUCUUCUGACGCUGAGGCACGAAAGCUAGGGUAGCGAACAGGAUUAGAUACCCCCGUAGUCC